GAGUUUGAUCCUGGCUCAUGAUGAACGCUGGCGUUUCCUAAUACAUGCAGCCGAGCGAACAGAUGGGGGCUUGCUCCUUUGACGUAGCGGCGGACGGCGAGUAUCACGUGGGUAACCUACCCAUAGACUGGAAUAACUCCGGGAAACCGGGGCUAAUGCCGGAUAAUAUUUACGAACCGCAUGGUUCUAAAGAGAAAGAUGGCCUUGCUAUCACUUAUGGAUGGACCCUGCGCCGAUUAGCUAGUGGUAAGGUAACGGCUUACCAAGGCAACGAUACGUAGCGACCUGAGAGGGUGAUGGCCACACUGGAACUGAACACGGCCAGACUCUACGGGGAGGCACGAGGGAAUCUCGCCAAUGGGCGAAACCGACUGGACCCCCGUAUGAUGAAGGUCUCCUUCCGUAAGUCUUGUUAUUAGGAAAGAACACUGCGUAAAGAACUUGCGCGUCUUGACGGCACCUAACAGAAAUCCCGGAUACCUAGUGCCAUCCGCCGUAUCUAAAGUGGCGCUAUCUAAUAUUGGCCGUAAACGCCCCUGGCCGGACUUUAGGCUUGGAAACCCCGCCUUAACCCUGGAUGGGGCAUUGAAAACUGCAACUUGGCGGCCAAAACGAAACGAGACGUUCCUCCCGGCGAAAGCGCAC
This 645-nucleotide ribosomal RNA is filed under the name uncultured actinomycete. RNAcentral's name for it is "bacterial SSU rRNA". The stretch from base 1 to 516 matches the Rfam family "Bacterial small subunit ribosomal RNA", at positions 9 to 546 of the family's 1533-position model. The record is from RNAcentral. Lineage: Bacteria; Bacillati; Actinomycetota; Actinomycetes; Actinomycetales.